RNAcentral lists this ribosomal RNA (279 nucleotides) under uncultured bacterium. Its description in RNAcentral is "partial 16S ribosomal RNA". It matches the Rfam family "Bacterial small subunit ribosomal RNA", at positions 506 to 784 of the family's 1533-position model. The record is from RNAcentral.
UGCCAGCAGCCGCGGUAAAACGUAGGACGCAAGCGUUAUCCGGAAUUACUGGGCAUAAAGCGCACGUAGGUGGUUGCGUAUGUCGAUGGUGAAAUCCUACGGCUCAACUGUAGAACUGCCAUCGAAACUACGUAGCUAGAGGACAGGAGGGGAGAGUGGAAUUCCUAGUGUAGCGGUGAAAUGCGUAGAUAUUAGGAGGAACGCCGGUGGCGAAAGCGACUCUCUGGACUGUUUCUGACACUGAGGUGCGAAAGCUAGGGGAGCAAACAGGAUUAGAUA